GGGUUGUGAGGUUAAGCGACUAAGCGUACACGGUGGAUGCCCUGGCAGUCAGAGGCGAUGAAGGACGUGCUAAUCUGCGAAAAGCGUCGGUAAGGUGAUAUGAACCGUUACAGCCGGCGAUGUCCGAAUGGGGAAACCCAGUGCAAUUCGUUGCACUAUCGUUAACUGAAUACAUAGGUUAACGAGGCGAACCGGGGGAACUGAAACAUCUAAGUACCCCGAGGAAAAGAAAUCAACCGAGAUUCCCCCAGUAGCGGCGAGCGAACGGGGAGCAGCCCAGAGUCUGAAUCAGCUUGUGUGUUAGUGGAACGGUCUGGAAAGUCCGACGGUACAGGGUGAUAGUCCCGUACACCAAAAUGCACAGGCUGUGAACUCGAAGAGUAGGGCGGGACACGUGGUAUCCUGUCUGAAUAUGGGGGGACCAUCCUCCAAGGCUAAAUACUCCUGACUGACCGAUAGUGAACCAGUACCGUGAGGGAAAGGCGAAAAGAACCCCGGCGAGGGGAGUGAAAAAGAACCUGAAACCGUGUACGUACAAGCAGUGGGAGCACCUUCGGGUGUGACUGCGUACCUUUUGUAUAAUGGGUCAGCGACUUAUAUUCUGUAGCAAGGUUAACCGUAUAGGGGAGCCGCAGGGAAACCGAGUCUUAACUGGGCGUUAAGUUGCAGGGUAUAGACCCGAAACCCGGUGAUCUAGCCAUGGGCAGGUUGAAGGUUGGGUAACACUAACUGGAGGACCGAACCGACUAAUGUUGAAAAAUUAGCGGAUGACUUGUGGCUGGGGGUGAAAGGCCAAUCAAACCGGGAGAUAGCUGGUUCUCCCCGAAAGCUAUUUAGGUAGCGCCUCGUGAACUCAUCUUCGGGGGUAGAGCACUGUUUCGGCUAGGGGGUCAUCCCGACUUACCAACCCGAUGCAAACUACGAAUACCGAAGAAUGUUAUCACGGGAGACACACGGCGGGUGCUAACGUCCGUCGUGAAGAGGGAAACAACCCAGACCGCCAGCUAAGGUCCCAAAGUCACAGUUAAGUGGGAAACGAUGUGGGAAGGCACAGACAGCCAGGAUGUUGGCUUAGAAGCAGCCAUCAUUUAAAGAAAGCGUAAUAGCUCACUGGUCGAGUCGGCCUGCGCGGAAGAUGUAACGGGGCUAAACUGUGCACCGAAGCUGCGGCAGCGACACUUAGGUGUUGUUGGGUAGGGGAGCGUUCUGUAAGCCUGCGAAGGUGGCCUGUGAGGGUUGCUGGAGGUAUCAGAAGUGCGAAUGCUGACAUAAGUAACGAUAAUGCGGGUGAAAAGCCCGCACGCCGGAAGACCAAGGGUUCCUGUCCAACGUUAAUCGGGGCAGGGUGAGUCGACCCCUAAGGCGAGGCCGAAAGGCGUAGUCGAUGGGAAACAGGUUAAUAUUCCUGUACUUGGUGUUACUGCGAAGGGGGGACGGAGAAGGCUAUGUUAGCCGGGCGACGGUUGUCCCGGUUUAAGCAUGUAGGCGGAGGUUCCAGGUAAAUCCGGUACCUUUUAACGCUGAGGUGUGAUGACGAGGCACUACGGUGCUGAAGUAACAAAUGCCCUGCUUCCAGGAAAAGCCUCUAAGCAUCAGGUAACAUUAAAUCGUACCCCAAACCGACACAGGUGGUCAGGUAGAGAAUACCAAGGCGCUUGAGAGAACUCGGGUGAAGGAACUAGGCAAAAUGGUGCCGUAACUUCGGGAGAAGGCACGCUGAUAUGUAGGUGAAGCCCCUGCGGGUGGAGCUGAAAUCAGUCGAAGAUACCAGCUGGCUGCAACUGUUUAUUAAAAACACAGCACUGUGCAAACACGAAAGUGGACGUAUACGGUGUGACGCCUGCCCGGUGCCGGAAGGUUAAUUGAUGGGGUUAUCCGUAAGGAGAAGCUCUUGAUCGAAGCCCCGGUAAACGGCGGCCGUAACUAUAACGGUCCUAAGGUAGCGAAAUUCCUUGUCGGGUAAGUUCCGACCUGCACGAAUGGCGUAAUGAUGGCCAGGCUGUCUCCACCCGAGACUCAGUGAAAUUGAACUCGCUGUGAAGAUGCAGUGUACCCGCGGCAAGACGGAAAGACCCCGUGAACCUUUACUAUAGCUUGACACUGAACAUUGAGCCUUGAUGUGUAGGAUAGGUGGGAGGCUUUGAAGCGUGGACGCCAGUCUGCGUGGAGCCAACCUUGAAAUACCACCCUUUAAUGUUUGAUGUUCUAACGUUGGCCCCUUAUCGGGGUUGCGGACAGUGUCUGGUGGGUAGUUUGACUGGGGCGGUCUCCUCCCAAAGAGUAACGGAGGAGCACGAAGGUUAGCUAAUCCUGGUCGGACAUCAGGAGGUUAGUGCAAUGGCAUAAGCUAGCUUGACUGCGAGCGUGACGGCGCGAGCAGGUGCGAAAGCAGGUCAUAGUGAUCCGGUGGUUCUGAAUGGAAGGGCCAUCGCUCAACGGAUAAAAGGUACUCCGGGGAUAACAGGCUGAUACCGCCCAAGAGUUCAUAUCGACGGCGGUGUUUGGCACCUCGAUGUCGGCUCAUCACAUCCUGGGGCUGAAGUAGGUCCCAAGGGUAUGGCUGUUCGCCAUUUAAAGUGGUACGCGAGCUGGGUUUAGAACGUCGUGAGACAGUUCGGUCCCUAUCUGCCGUGGGCGCUGGAGAAUUGAGGGGGGCUGCUCCUAGUACGAGAGGACCGGAGUGGACGCAUCACUGGUGUUCGGGUUGUCAUGCCAAUGGCAUUGCCCGGUAGCUAAAUGCGGAAGAGAUAAGUGCUGAAAGCAUCUAAGCACGAAACUUGCCCCGAGAUGAGUUCUCCCUGAGACUUUAAGUCUCCUGAAGGAACGUUAAAGACGAUGACGUUGAUAGGUCGGGUGUGUAAGCGUAGCGAUACGUUGAGCUAACCGAUACUAAUGAACCGUGAGGCUUAACCUUACAACGCCGAAGGUGUUU
Molecule: ribosomal RNA, 2932 nt
Filed under: Klebsiella aerogenes
Lineage: Bacteria; Pseudomonadati; Pseudomonadota; Gammaproteobacteria; Enterobacterales; Enterobacteriaceae
Description: 23S ribosomal RNA
Rfam family: Bacterial large subunit ribosomal RNA
Source: RNAcentral